CCAGACUCCUACGGGAGGCAGCAGUGGGGAAUAUUGGACAAUGGGGGGAACCCUGAUCCAGCGACGCCGCGUGAGUGAAGAAGUAUUUCGGUAUGUAAAGCUCUAUCAGCAGGGAAGAAAGAAAUGACGGUACCUGACUAAGAAGCCCCGGCUAACUACGUGCCAGCAGCCGCGGUAAUACGUAGGGGGCAAGCGUUAUCCGGAUUUACUGGGUGUAAAGGGAGCGUAGACGGCGAUGCAAGUCUGAAGUGAAAGGCGGGGGCCCAACCCCCGGACUGCUUUGGAAACUGUCGGACUAGAGUGUCGGAGAGGCAAGUGGAAUUCCUAGUGUAGCGGUGAAAUGCGUAGAUAUUAGGAGGAACACCAGUGGCGAAGGCGGCUUGCUGGACGAUGACUGACGUUGAGGCUCGAAAGCGUGGGGAGCAAACAGGAUUAGAUACCCGGGUAA
Molecule: ribosomal RNA, 448 nt
Filed under: uncultured bacterium
Lineage: Bacteria
Description: bacterial SSU rRNA
Rfam family: Bacterial small subunit ribosomal RNA
Source: RNAcentral